This 253-nucleotide ribosomal RNA is filed under the name uncultured bacterium. RNAcentral's name for it is "partial 16S ribosomal RNA". It matches the Rfam family "Bacterial small subunit ribosomal RNA", at positions 524 to 776 of the family's 1533-position model. The record is from RNAcentral.
UACGAAGGUCCCAAGCGUUAUCCGGAUUUAUUGGGUUUAAAGGGUGCGUAGGCGGGUUAUUAAGUCAGUGGUGAAAGCCUGCAGCUUAACUGCAGAAUUGCCAUUGAUACUGAUGAUCUUGAGUAUGAUUGAGGUGGGCGGAAUGUGUCAUGUAGCGGUGAAAUGCUUAGAUAUGACACAGAACACCGAUUGCGAAGGCAGCUCACUAAGUCAUAACUGACGCUGAUGCACGAAAGCGUGGGGAGCGAACAGG